CGAAUGGGUCCAAAGACUCUUAAAACCUACCGUGCUCCCCUACGUGGAAAACAGGAAAGCCCUCCGGGGCAUAGGAAAUCUGAGAAGUUGAGAACUGCGCCCCCGGCGCAUGACUAAAACAAAAAAUUA
RNAcentral lists this unclassified non-coding RNA (129 nucleotides) under soil metagenome. RNAcentral describes it as "partial internal transcribed spacer 1". The record is from RNAcentral.